Molecule: transfer RNA, 74 nt
Filed under: Omnitrophica bacterium RIFCSPHIGHO2_02_FULL_63_14
Lineage: Bacteria; Pseudomonadati; Candidatus Omnitrophota
Description: tRNA-Val
Rfam family: tRNA
About the family: Transfer RNA (tRNA) molecules are approximately 80 nucleotides in length. Their secondary structure includes four short double-helical elements and three loops (D, anti-codon, and T loops).
Source: RNAcentral
GGGCGAUUAGCUCAGUUGGUUAGAGCGCUUCCUUGACAUGGAAGAGGCCAGAGGUUCGAGUCCUCUAUCGCCCA